GGGGAAUAUUGCGCAAUGGGGGAAACCCUGACGCAGCAACGCCGCGUGAAUGAUGAAGGCCUUAGGGUUGUAAAGUUCUGUCUUCUGGGACGAUAAUGACGGUACCAGAGGAGGAAGCCACGGCUAACUACGUGCCAGCAGCCGCGGUAAUACGUAGGUGGCAAGCGUUGUCCGGAUUUACUGGGCGUAAAGGAUGCGUAGGCGGAUAUUUAAGUCAGAUGUGAAAUACCCGGGCUCAACUUGGGUGCUGCAUUUGAAACUGGAUAUCUAGAGUGCGGGAGAGGUAAGUGGAAUUCCUAGUGUAGCGGUGAAAUGCGUAGAGAUUAGGAAGAACACCAGUGGCGAAGGCGACUUACUGGACCGUAACUGACGCUGAGGCAUGAAAGCGUGGGGAGCAAAC
This 400-nucleotide ribosomal RNA is filed under the name uncultured bacterium. RNAcentral's name for it is "bacterial SSU rRNA". It matches the Rfam family "Bacterial small subunit ribosomal RNA", at positions 356 to 773 of the family's 1533-position model. The record is from RNAcentral.